AACUUCGGUUUACUACCGUGUGUGUUCGCAGGUUUGCACGGUCAGAGCCGACAGAAUGGAUCUUGGAGGAGGGGGCCGUUGCCGGGCCUUCCGGGGAGCCACGUGUAGCCGUCCGCAACCUUCAGUCUCCUACCUCUGUGUUUUUAUAUCAGGUUAAUUGCUGGCAGAAAGCAGACUUUGAAUGGACCAGGAUGAAUCCAGGAUUGGUAAAGAAUUGGUCUGGAGCCCUGUGUGCCCCAGAGCAGUGAGUAGGUUGAUUGCAGCCUGAUAUAACCCUCGGCUUGGUUCUGUCUUGUAACAGUAUUUCAGUUUAUGGAGUUGGAACACAAGAUCUCUUGAAAAAGAUUGUCUCUGCUUUCCUGAGAAAGCGUGAUAGUUCUGAUGAAUCAGUCCAGCAAGGCUGUGUAACCCACGUGUCCGGAGCUGAAAAGCUGGUGUCUGCUUUGAAGAAUCAAGGAUUAUUAUAUUGUUAAACUUGGUGAAGUUUUCUAACUUAGAGCCUUUCUAUCUGGAGAAAGACAAUAAAAUGCUUUAAAUUAAAA
Long non-coding RNA from Camelus dromedarius (Arabian camel), 542 nucleotides. RefSeq lists it as uncharacterized. NCBI's taxonomy places the organism in Eukaryota, Metazoa, Chordata, Mammalia, Artiodactyla, Camelidae. The transcript is spliced from 5 exons. The record is from RefSeq and is a predicted model, not a curated record.